RNA transcript from Microcebus murinus (gray mouse lemur), 806 nucleotides. It is a transcript of the gene named large ribosomal subunit protein mL48 pseudogene, with no coding region annotated. NCBI's taxonomy places the organism in Eukaryota, Metazoa, Chordata, Mammalia, Primates, Cheirogaleidae. The record is from RefSeq and is a predicted model, not a curated record.
CGUACACUUCCCUCUAUGGGAUCUGUCCUUACUCCCCUGACAAAAAUCACCCAGGGAGCUCAAGAGGGUUUCAGUGGAGACCCCCAGGGAUCGCGGCUGGUGCGGCGGACCUUCGGUUUGCACAGUGAGAGGCUGCAGCAGCAAAGGAUGAGCGGAACCCUGGAAAAGGUGCUGUGCCUGAGGAACAAUACCAUUUUUAAGCAAGCCUUUUCCCUCUUAAAGUUUAAAGCUUCAGGAGAGAAUCCCAUCUAUUCUGCAGGUGGCAUUCUACUGAGUACCAGUCGGCACUACAAGUCAAAGCCCACCCAUGCCAUUGGAAGAUACCAGCACUUAAUUAAAGCAGAAGAGCCCAAGAAGAAGAGGGGAAAAGUAGAAGUGAGAGCCAUUAAUUUGGGCACAGAUCAUGAAUAUUGUGUUUUAAACAUUCACCUGACUGCUUAUGACAUGACCCUGGCAGAGAGUUAUGCCCAAUAUGUUCACAACCUCUGCAACGAUCUUUCCAUUAAAGUCGAAGAAAGUUAUGCAAUGCCAACCAAAACCAUGGAAGUGAUGCGGCUGCUGGACCAAGGCAACAAAAUGGUCCUGGACUCAGUCCUUACCACUCAUGAGCGAGUGGUUCAGAUCAGCGGUUUGAGUGCUACAUUUGCAGAGAUUUUCUUGGAAAUAAUCCAAAGCAAUCUUCCUGAAGGAGUCACAUUGUCAGUAAGGGAGCACACUGAAGAAGACUUCAAGGGAAGAUUCAAAGCUCGGCCAGAACUGGAAGAACUGUUGGCCAAAUUGAACUAGCUAUUACAGACCUGCAAUAU